GACGAACGCUGGCGGCGUGCUUAACACAUGCAAGUCGAACGAGAAAGCGGGCUUCGGUCCGCUAGUAAAGUGGCAGACGGGUGAGUAACACGUGGGUAACCUGCCGGAGGUGGGGGACAACCCUCCGAAAGGAGGGCUAAUACCGCAUGAUAUCCCUGAGGCUUCGGCCUUGAGGAUCAAAGCUAGCCUCUACAUGUAAGCUAGCUCCACCGGAGGGGCCCGCGGCCCAUUAGCUAGUUGGNGAGGUAACGGCUCACCAAGGCGACGAU
RNAcentral lists this ribosomal RNA (269 nucleotides) under uncultured bacterium. Its description in RNAcentral is "partial 16S ribosomal RNA". It matches the Rfam family "Bacterial small subunit ribosomal RNA", at positions 28 to 280 of the family's 1533-position model. The record is from RNAcentral.